CCGCCACCGAGGGUGCCGCGAAUUUCUUGACUAGACCACGGCGGUGGCGUUGACUUGGUCACGUUCAAAGAGGGUCGUUCGGUGCCGUUGCUGUGGAAAAUGGAAAAACACGGUUAGGCGGUGUUGAGCAAAAUAUCCAAAGUACGUCGAAAUCACAUCAUGACGUGUUUAUUUUGCUUUACUAUAUCAUUCAGUCAAACGAGUCAGUAAAAUUAAAAUGGGUAUCCAACAAUACUGGUUUGUUGACAUUUUCAGUUGCAGAGUUUAGUAGUUUUAUUAAUUAUUCAUAAGCCGUUGUUAAAUAAAAAAAAAAAAA
Molecule: long non-coding RNA, 316 nt
Organism: Melanaphis sacchari
Lineage: Eukaryota; Metazoa; Arthropoda; Insecta; Hemiptera; Aphididae
Exons: 2
Source: RefSeq, a predicted model, not a curated record